AGUUGAUGCACAUGGCGGUCUUUCUCCUCCCAGUGCCGCCGCGUCAGCUGUUCCCCUCUGGAGGUUUUGACCUUCACACUUCAAUGGGCCGCGGUUUCGCAGGCCCAUUUUUU
Non-coding RNA from Shinella sp. HZN7, 113 nucleotides. Lineage: Bacteria; Pseudomonadati; Pseudomonadota; Alphaproteobacteria; Hyphomicrobiales; Rhizobiaceae. The record is from Rfam.